UCCCUACGGGGCGCAGCAGUAGGGAAUCUUCCACAAUGGACGAAAGUCUGAUGGAGCAACGCCGCGUGAGUGAAGAAGGGUUUCGGCUCGUAAAGCUCUGUUGGUAGUGAAGAAAGAUAGAGGUAGUAACUGGCCUUUAUUUGACGGUAAUUACUAAGAAGCCCCGGCUAACUACGUGCCAGCAGCCGCGGUAAUACGUAGGGGGCAAGCGUUAUCCGGAUUUACUGGGUGUAAAGGGAGCGUAGACGGCAAUACAAGUCGGAAGUGAAAUACCCGGGCUCAACCUGGGAACUGCUUUGGAAACU
RNAcentral lists this ribosomal RNA (305 nucleotides) under uncultured bacterium. RNAcentral describes it as "bacterial SSU rRNA". It matches the Rfam family "Bacterial small subunit ribosomal RNA", at positions 335 to 634 of the family's 1533-position model. The record is from RNAcentral.